This 440-nucleotide ribosomal RNA is filed under the name uncultured bacterium. Its description in RNAcentral is "partial 16S ribosomal RNA". It matches the Rfam family "Bacterial small subunit ribosomal RNA", at positions 338 to 795 of the family's 1533-position model. The record is from RNAcentral.
CCUACGGGUGGCAGCAGUGGGGGAUAUUGCACAAUGGGGGAAACCCUGAUGCAGCGACGCCGCGUGGGUGAAGAAGCGCCUCGGCGCGUAAAGCCCUGUCAGCAGGGAAGAAAAUGACGGUACCUGAAGAAGAAGCACCGGCUAACUACGUGCCAACUGCCGCGGUAAUACGUAGGGGGCAAGCGUUAUCCGGAUUUACCGGGUGUAAAGGGGGCGCAGUCGGCGAUGCAAGCCAGGAGUGAAAGCCCGGGGCCCAACCCCGGGACCGCCGUUGGAACUGCGUGGCUCGAGUGCAGGAGGGGCAGGCGGAAUGCGUGGUGUAGCGGUGAAAUGCAUAGAUAUCAGGAAGAACACCGAUGGCGAAGGCAGCCUACUGGAGUGCAACUGACGUUGAGGCCCGAAAGCGUGGGGAGCGAACAGGAUUAGAGACCCGAGUAGUC